CCGUAGGUGAACCUGCGGAAGGAUCAUUACCGAGUGAGGGCCCUCUGGGUCCAACCUCCCACCCGUGUUUAUUUUACCUUGUUGCUUCGGCGGGCCCGCCUUAACUGGCCGCCGGGGGGCUUACGCCCCCGGGCCCGCGCCCGCCGAAGACACCCUCGAACUCUGUCUGAAGAUUGUAGUCUGAGUGAAAAUAUAAAUUAUUUAAAACUUUCAACAACGGAUCUCUUGGUUCCGGCAUCGAUGAAGAACGCAGCGAAAUGCGAUACGUAAUGUGAAUUGCAAAUUCAGUGAAUCAUCGAGUCUUUGAACGCACAUUGCGCCCCCUGGUAUUCCGGGGGGCAUGCCUGUCCGAGCGUCAUUGCUGCCCUCAAGCACGGCUUGUGUGUUGGGCCCCGUCCUCCGAUCCCGGGGGACGGGCCCGAAAGGCAGCGGCGGCACCGCGUCCGGUCCUCGAGCGUAUGGGGCUUUGUCACCCGCUCUGUAGGCCCGGCCGGCGCUUGCCGAUCAACCCAAAUUUUUAUCCAGGUUGACCUCGGAUCAGGUAGGGAUACCCGCUGAACUUAAGCAUAUCAAUAAGCGGAGGA
RNAcentral lists this ribosomal RNA (584 nucleotides) under Penicillium chrysogenum. Its description in RNAcentral is "eukaryotic LSU rRNA". The stretch from base 206 to 358 matches the Rfam family "5.8S ribosomal RNA". The record is from RNAcentral. Lineage: Eukaryota; Fungi; Ascomycota; Eurotiomycetes; Eurotiales; Aspergillaceae.